Molecule: ribosomal RNA, 454 nt
Filed under: uncultured bacterium
Lineage: Bacteria
Description: bacterial SSU rRNA
Rfam family: Bacterial small subunit ribosomal RNA
Source: RNAcentral
AGAGUUUGAUCAUGGCUCAGAGCGAACGCUGGCGGCAGGCCUAAUACAUGCAAGUCGAGCGGGUCCUUCGGGGAUUAGCGGCGGACGGGUGAGUAACGCGUGGGAACGUGCCCUUUGGUACGGAACAACUGAGGGAAACUUCAGCUAAUACCGUAUGUGCCCUUCGGGGGAAAGAUUUAUCGCCAUUGGAGCGGCCCGCGUUGGAUUAGGUGGUUGGUGAGGUAAAGGCUCACCAAGCCUACGAUCCAUAGCUGGUCUGAGAGGAUGACCAGCCACACUGGGACUGAGACACGGCCCAGACUCCUACGGGAGGCAGCAGUAGGGAAUCUUGCGCAAUGGGCGAAAGCCUGACGCAGCCAUGCCGCGUAAAUGAUGAAGGUCUUAGGAUUGUAAAAUUCUUUCACCGGGGACGAUAAUGACGGUACCCGGAGAAGAAGCCCCGGCUAACUUCGUG